RNAcentral lists this unclassified non-coding RNA (240 nucleotides) under Hevea brasiliensis (rubber tree). Lineage: Eukaryota; Viridiplantae; Streptophyta; Magnoliopsida; Malpighiales; Euphorbiaceae. The record is from RNAcentral.
GAUUCAGCUUGUCACGGCAGAUUUGGUAUCACCGCAAGAACAGCUCCAGUUUUUGGACCGGGAGGGCAUGCGUAUGUUUAUCUUUGCUAUGGUCUCCACACAAUGCUUAAUGUAGUUGCAGACAAGGAAGGGGUUGGGGCUGCAGUAUUGAUACGAUCUUGUGCUCCCAUGAGUGGGUUGGAUACCAUUCAGCAUCGUCGAGGUCAGAAAACUGAUAAGCCAGUUCUUCUUACUGGGCAC